AUACGGAGGGGGUUAGCGUUGUUCGGAAUUACUGGGCGUAAAGCGUACGUAGGCGGAUUAGUAAGUUAGGGGUGAAAUCCCGAGGCUCAACCUCGGAACUGCCUCUAAAACUGCUAGUCUUGAGUUCGAGAGAGGUGAGUGGAAUUCCUAGUGUAGAGGUGAAAUUCGUAGAUAUUAGGAGGAACACCAGUGGCGAAGGCGGCUCACUGACUCGAUACUGACGCUGAGGUACGAAAGUGUGGGGAGCAAACAGGAUUAGAAACCCCAGUAGUCC
Molecule: ribosomal RNA, 274 nt
Filed under: uncultured bacterium
Lineage: Bacteria
Description: partial 16S ribosomal RNA
Rfam family: Bacterial small subunit ribosomal RNA
Source: RNAcentral